GGACUACAGGGGUUUCUAAUCCUGUUUGCUCCCCAUGCUUUCGCGCCUCAGCGUCAGCUACAGCCCAGUAAACCGUCUUCACCACCGGUGUUCUUCCACAUAUCUACGCAUUUCACCGCUACACGUGGAAUUCCGUUUACCCUAACUGUGCUCAAGUCUUGUAGUUUCAAAUGCAGCUCCGGGGUUGAGCCCCGGAAUUUCACGUCUGACUUACAAAACCGCCUACGCGCCCUUUACGCCCAGUAAUUCCGAUCAAUGCUUGCACCCUCCGUAUUACCGCGGCUGCUGGCAC
This 292-nucleotide ribosomal RNA is filed under the name uncultured bacterium. RNAcentral's name for it is "partial 16S ribosomal RNA". The record is from RNAcentral.